This 560-nucleotide ribosomal RNA is filed under the name uncultured bacterium. Its description in RNAcentral is "bacterial SSU rRNA". It matches the Rfam family "Bacterial small subunit ribosomal RNA", at positions 79 to 636 of the family's 1533-position model. The record is from RNAcentral.
AAUAUAGAGACCUGGAGCGGCGCACGGGUGAGUAACGCGUACACGACCUGGCCUAAACUGGGGGAUAGCCUUGGGAAACUGAGAAUAAUCCCGCAUGUGAUCAUUGGACUGCAUGGUUUGAUAAUUAAAGCUACGGCGGUUUAGGAUGGGUGUGCGUCUGAUUAGCUAGUUGGCAGUGUAACGGACUACCAAGGCGAUGAUCAGUAGGGGGCGUGAGAGCGUGACCCCCCACACGGGUACUGAGACACGGACCCGACUCCUACGGGAGACAGCAGUAAGGAAUAUUGGUCAAUGCCCGGAAGGGUGAACCAGCCAUCCCGCGUGAAGGAUGAAGGGGCUCUGCCUUGUAAACUUCUUUUGUAUGGGGCGAAAAAAGGGGAUUUAUCCUCGACUGACGGUACCAUAAGAAUAAGCACCGGCUAACUCCGUGCCAGCAGCCGCGGUAAUACGGAGGGUGCAAGCGUUAUCCGGAAUCACUGGGUUUAAAGGGUGCGUAAGCUGUUUAAUAAGUCAGUGGUGAAAGGCCCGUCGCUUAACGAUGGGACUGGCAUUGAUACUGU